RNAcentral lists this ribosomal RNA (537 nucleotides) under uncultured bacterium. RNAcentral's name for it is "bacterial SSU rRNA". It matches the Rfam family "Bacterial small subunit ribosomal RNA", at positions 28 to 569 of the family's 1533-position model. The record is from RNAcentral.
GAUGAACGCUGGCGGCGUGCCUAACACAUGCAAGUCGAACGAGCAUGUGCAUGAAACCUAGUGAUUGCGCAUGCGAGUGGCGGACGGGUGAGUAACGCGUGGACAACCUGCCGCAUGCAGGGGGAUACCGGCUGGAAACAGCCGCUAAUACCGCAUAUGCGCACAGCGCCGCAUGGCGCAGUGCGGAAAGGGAGCAAUCCCGGCAUGCGAUGGGUCCGCGUCCGAUUAGCUUGUUGGCGGGGCAGCGGCCCACCAAGGCAACGAUCGGUAGCCGGCCUGAGAGGGCGGACGGCCACAUUGGGACUGAGACACGGCCCAGACUCCUACGGGAGGCAGCAGUGGGGGAUAUUGCACAAUGGGGGGAACCCUGAUGCAGCGACGCCGCGUGGGUGAAGGAGUGCUUCGGCAUGUAAAGCCCUAUCGGCAGGGAAGAAGCAAGACGGUACCUGACUAAGAAGCCCCGGCUAACUACGUGCCAGCAGCCGCGGUAAUACGUANGGGGCGAGCGUUAUCCGGAUUCACUGGGUGUAAAGGGAG